GGAUUAGAUACCCUGGUAGUCCGCGCCGUAAACGAUGUCUACUUGGAGGUUGUGGCCUUGAGCCGUGGCUUUCGGAGCUAACGCGUUAAGUAGACCGCCUGGGGAGUACGGUCGCAAGAUUAAAACUCAAAUGAAUUGACGGGGGCCCGCACAAGCGGUGGAGCAUGUGGUUUAAUUCGAUGCAACGCGAAGAACCUUACCAUCCCUUGACAUCCAGAGAACUUACUAGAGAUAGUUUGGUGCCUUCGGGAACUCUGAGACAGGUGCUGCAUAGCUGUCGUCAGCUCGUGUCG
This 293-nucleotide ribosomal RNA is filed under the name uncultured bacterium. RNAcentral's name for it is "partial 16S ribosomal RNA". It matches the Rfam family "Bacterial small subunit ribosomal RNA", at positions 775 to 1067 of the family's 1533-position model. The record is from RNAcentral.